UAAAAUAUAUUACGAAUAUUUUUAUCAAGAAAUUUUCCAAUUUUAAAAAAUAAAUUUUUAGAGAUAAUUAUGACGGUGUGCCCUAGAUAUUAAACUAUAAAUAUAGAGCCGCAACCACACCAUUAGAACUCAGAUUCGUUAGCCUAAACAUAUCGUUUUGAUAUUAUAGCUUUUUUUUUUGUUGCUUUGGUUCUUUUAUGGAUCGAUUUAUUUUGCGUUAUUAUUUUUUACCUUUUCUUGAGGUUAUAUUUGUAUUGUUAUUAUCUUGGUCUAUGAAUUAUCAAGAUUGUUAUUGUUUUGCUGAUUUGUAUCGUGUGAAUUAUGUUUUAGGUAACCGCUCAUGGGAGUUUCUAUCAAGAGAUUGAAUGAACGAGUUGAUGAAGACAUGCCUCUUCAUUAAAUUCAUUAACAAACUUUUUACAUCAAUCGCGGAGCAUUGCGCUGAUGCGAAAGUGAUUUACAAGUUUUUGGAGGUCAAUGAGAUUGAUAAGACACAUGCUGUCUACUACAUAGCUUAUGCUUUGCACAUGGGAGUUUAAGAAUAAGGUGAAAACUGCUAAGGAGAUCUUCAAUCUCGGAAUCUCUAGGUAAUAUUUAUUACGAAUGAAUAGACAUGUAAUCAUAUAUACUUUCAUGUUUCUGCUCCUUACAUUAUAGACCCUUAUAAAUUUACUGAUUUUCUUU
This is a long non-coding RNA of Arabidopsis lyrata subsp. lyrata, 684 nucleotides long. RefSeq lists it as uncharacterized. The transcript has 2 exons. Lineage: Eukaryota; Viridiplantae; Streptophyta; Magnoliopsida; Brassicales; Brassicaceae. The record is from RefSeq and is a predicted model, not a curated record.